CAACGGUGAAACUCAAAGGAAUUGACGGGGGCCCGCACAGGCGGAGGAACAUGUGGUUUAAUUCGAUGAUACGCGAGGAACCUUACCCGGGUUUGAACGUAGUCCGACCGCGGUGGAAACACCGCUUCUAGCAAUAGCGGAUUACGAGGUGCUGCAUGGUUGUCGUCAGCUCGUGCCGUGAGGUGUCGGCUUAAGUGCCAUAACGAGCGCAACCCUUAUCACUAGUUACUAACAGGUCAUGCUGAGGACUCUGGUGAGACUGCCAGCGUAAGCUGUGAGGAAGGUGGGGAUGACGUCAAAUCAGCACGGCCCUUACAUCCGGGGCGACACACGUGUUACAAUGGUGGGGACAAAGGGCAGCUACACAGCGAUGUGAUGCCAAUCUCCAAACCCCAUCUCAGUUCGGAUCGGAGUCUGCAACUCAACUCCGUGAAGCUGGAUUCGCUAGUAAUCGCGCAUCAGCCAUGGCGCGGUGAAUACGUUCCCGGGCCUUGUACACACCGCCCGUCAAGCCAUGGGAG
Molecule: ribosomal RNA, 521 nt
Filed under: uncultured Bacteroidota bacterium
Lineage: Bacteria; Pseudomonadati; Bacteroidota
Description: bacterial SSU rRNA
Rfam family: Bacterial small subunit ribosomal RNA
Source: RNAcentral